CUCUCCUCGAUUCUUGGACACGGACACUGUAAGGCCCCAGGAUCAGAUUCCACUCUGUUGCCCUACUCUAGCUCUGUGUCUGAGGGUGCUGCUGGCGGGUGUAUGUGGUCUGUGUGGUUUUUAUGUAGACAGUGUCCUUGUUCCCUCACAAGGCUAUAAAGCUGGGCACAGAGGCCUUAGGUCGCUCUUACACCCCUCACAAUGGUGUGGAGACCCUUACAUUGGGCAAACCUACAUUCCCUUCCCUGCGUGGCAGCCUGCAAACCCCUUUGGGAGUCCCUUGACUGUCACCAUCUCUCAGCAAUGUCUGUCCUUCCUUGUCUUGAUGCCAGGUCUCAGAAGCUAUUGUUGUAUAUUUUAUCUCUUUUGGUUAUUUGUGGUCACUCAGAAGACAUAAGAAUGAUCCUUGCUACUUUAUCAGAGUUGUCAGUGAAGUCCUUUGGUCAUCUCAUCUCCAUGUUCUCUUAUCUCAGAGCAAUCUCCUCAGGCCCCAAAGUCUCUGAAGACAGAGGACCCAGGCUGACUAGUUUCCUCUGUGAAUGAGAAACUGUCCUCUGACCUAAAGUAGAACUUGGCCUUGAUGUGCUCAGCAUGGAAAUUCAACAGCUCCUGGAUAAUGGCUUGCCUGGCUCCGCACUGACCCUCACGGGGAAAGCUUCAUGCCCUGAGGUCUUAGGUUCCAGUUAAAGUGAUGUCUAUCUUAUUGCAGCCCAGCCCAAUCUCCCAUCAAAGCAUCCCUGAUGAGGGAAGAGAGAGAUGGAUAAUCUUCCCAAAGCAUAUGAAUAUUUGUUUGUGGGCAAAGGAAUAAAUGGCCUAAUCAGACCCCAGGCGUGGGCCUGUUCCUACAUAAUUUCAGUCUCCUUGCUGUGGAACUCAAUGCUUUGACACUGGACACAACAGAGUUUUGUAGGGCUCUGACCCAAUGCCCACUCCUCAUGCCUACCUGGCAUACUUACUUAGCAUCCCUACUUGGCUCCCUGUCCCUGUCAGAAACCAGCACAGGCACACCUUGCCUCCCUGCUACUCCACUACCCUAUACUGUAGGGUUGCUGCGUUGGUCAUUUUCAGUGAGAGGCAGGUAGAAUGUCAUCACCUGAGACAGGCUGCCCUGAAGUUACCUCAUCUUUGUGGCUGUCAGCUGAUCUCCUUUAGAAGCUGCCUGGAGAUGAACUCAGCUGACCUAGAUGGUCUGCAUCUGGUCCCAGUGAUAAGUUUCUACCCAGGCCACUCUCUACAUUCCCCAGAAAGCUAUGAGAGUAGCAGCUAGUCACCAAGCUGGAUUUCACCAGGAGUCCACCUCAGCUCCCUCCCAUCUUUCAGGAUCUAGAACUGCCAGUCAGGACAUUUUGUUGGGGGCCCAUUUUCUUUGUUGUUUGUUUAGUUAUAAAGAUUUUAAUUUUCUUGAAUGUGUUAUUGUUGGAUUGAACACUGACCAGCAUAGAAAAAAAUGGUGAUAAGUGUCCCCUCUCCCAAGAUUUCCUCCAUUCUAAGCUCCCAGAGAUCUCAGAAACACACGCCAAGCUGCAAGAGAGUCACCUCUCUGUCCCCCAAAGCAAAGAAGAAUAUGUACACUACUUCUUCACCCUGCAUUUACAACUCAUAAUGCACUCAUUCAACAAAUGAGCACCAAUAUGGCUGGCAGAAGACUGUGACCCUGCCUCCAGGGUGGCUGAUGGGAAUAAAGUCCAUCUAGGGAAUAAAGUCUGCUCUUGCUCUUGUAGACCAUGAGGAAGAAACAUAACUGGAAGAUGGAGAUGGAAUGUUCCCUUGAACAGAAGUGGGAUCCCACUUCACACCCUGUCAGCAAGUGUGAUGGUUUGUAUAUGUUUGACCCAGAGAGUGGCACUAUUUAGGAGGUGUGACCUUGUUGGAGUAUAUGUGGCUUUGUUGAAGUAGGUAUGUCACUAUGGGCAUGGGCUUUAAUACCCUCAGCCUAGCUGCCUGCAAGUCAGUCUUCUACUAGCUGCCUUCAGAACAAGAGGUGAAAAUCUUAGCUCUUCCAGCCCCAUCCCUGCCUGGACACUGCCAUGCAUGAUGAUAAUGGACUGAACCUCUGAGCCUGUAAGCCAGCACCAAUUAAAUGU
This 2084-nucleotide long non-coding RNA is filed under the name Mus musculus (house mouse). RNAcentral describes it as "long non-coding RNA chr10:77435862-77437946". Lineage: Eukaryota; Metazoa; Chordata; Mammalia; Rodentia; Muridae. The record is from RNAcentral.